AGUGAACGCUGGCGGUAGGCCUAACACAUGCCAGUCGAACGGCAGCACAGUAAGAGCUUGCUCUUACGGGUGGCGAGUGGCGGACGGGUGAGGAAUACAUCGGAAUCUACUUUUUCGUGGGGGAUAACGUAGGGAAACUUACGCUAAUACCGCAUACGACCUACGGGUGAAAGCAGGGGAUCUUCGGACCUUGCGCGAUUGAAUGAGCCGAUGUCGGAUUAGCUAGUUGGCGGGGUAAAGGCCCACCAAGGCGACGAUCCGUAGCUGGUCUGAGAGGAUGAUCAGCCACACUGGAACUGAGACACGGUCCAGACUCCUACGGGAGGCAGCAGUGGGGAAUAUUGGACAAUGGGCGCAAGCCUGAUCCAGCCAUACCGCGUGGGUGAAGAAGGCCUUCGGGUUGUAAAGCCCUUUUGUUGGGAAAGAAAGGCAGCAGGUUAAUACCCCGCUGUUCUGACGGUACCCAAAGAAUAAGCACCGGCUAACCUCGUG
Molecule: ribosomal RNA, 492 nt
Filed under: uncultured bacterium
Lineage: Bacteria
Description: partial 16S ribosomal RNA
Rfam family: Bacterial small subunit ribosomal RNA
Source: RNAcentral